This 491-nucleotide ribosomal RNA is filed under the name Pseudomonas sp. Nj-70. RNAcentral's name for it is "bacterial SSU rRNA". It matches the Rfam family "Bacterial small subunit ribosomal RNA", at positions 496 to 987 of the family's 1533-position model. Lineage: Bacteria; Pseudomonadati; Pseudomonadota; Gammaproteobacteria; Pseudomonadales; Pseudomonadaceae. The record is from RNAcentral.
GCUAACUCUGUGCCAGCAGCCGCGGUAAUACAGAGGGUGCAAGCGUAAUCGGAAUUACUGGGCGUAAAGCGAGCGUAGGUGGCUUGAUAAGUCAGAUGUGAAAUCCCCGGGCUUAACCUGGGAACUGCAUCUGAAACUGUUAGGCUAGAGUAGGUGAGAGGAAGGUAGAAUUCCAGGUGUAGCGGUGAAAUGCGUAGAGAUCUGGAGGAAUACCGAUGGCGAAGGCAGCCUUCUGGCAUCAUACUGACACUGAGGCUCGAAAGCGUGGGUAGCAAACAGGAUUAGAUACCCUGGUAGUCCACGCCGUAAACGAUGUCUACUAGUCGUUGGGUCCCUUGAGGACUUAGUGACGCAGCUAACGCAAUAAGUAGACCGCCUGGGGAGUACGGCCGCAAGGUUAAAACUCAAAUGAAUUGACGGGGGCCCGCACAAGCGGUGGAGCAUGUGGUUUAAUUCGAUGCAACGCGAAGAACCUUACCUGGUCUUGACAU